Molecule: ribosomal RNA, 446 nt
Filed under: Shigella sonnei
Lineage: Bacteria; Pseudomonadati; Pseudomonadota; Gammaproteobacteria; Enterobacterales; Enterobacteriaceae
Description: bacterial SSU rRNA
Rfam family: Bacterial small subunit ribosomal RNA
Source: RNAcentral
AAAUUGAAGAGUUUGAUCAUGGCUCAGAUUGAACGCUGGCGGCAGGCCUAACACAUGCAAGUCGAACGGUAACAGGAAACAGCUUGCUGUUUCGCUGACGAGUGGCGGACGGGUGAGUAAUGUCUGGGAAACUGCCUGAUGGAGGGGGAUAACUACUGGAAACGGUAGCUAAUACCGCAUAAUGUCGCAAGACUAAAGAGGGGGACCUUCGGGCCUCUUGCCAUCGGAUGUGCCCAGAUGGGAUUAGCUAGUAGGUGGGGUAACGGCUCACCUAGGCGACGAUCCCUAGCUGGUCUGAGAGGAUGACCAGCCACACUGGAACUGAGACACGGUCCAGACUCCUACGGGAGGCAGCAGUGGGGAAUAUUGCACAAUGGGCGCAAGCCUGAUGCAGCCAUGCCGCGUGUAUGAAGAAGGCCUUCGGGUUGUAAAGUACUUUCAGCGGG